AUACGUAGGGUGCGAGCGUUGUCCGGAAUUACUGGGCGUAAAGAGCUCGUAGGUGGUUUGUCGCGUCGUCUGUGAAAUUCCGGGGCUUAACUCCGGGCGUGCAGGCGAUACGGGCAUAACUUGAGUACUGUAGGGGAGACUGGAAUUCCUGGUGUAGCGGUGAAAUGCGCAGAUAUCAGGAGGAACACCGGUGGCGAAGGCGGGUCUCUGGGCAGUAACUGACGCUGAGGAGCGAAAGCAUGGGUAGCGAACAGUAUUAGAUACCCUGGUAGUCCAUGCCGUAAACGGUGGGCGCUAGGUGUAGGGGUCUUCCGCGACUUCUGUGCCGUAGCUAACGCAUUAAGCGCCCCGCCUGGGGAGUACGGCCGCAAGGCUAAAACUCAAAUGAAUUGACGGGG
Molecule: ribosomal RNA, 398 nt
Filed under: uncultured bacterium
Lineage: Bacteria
Description: partial 16S ribosomal RNA
Rfam family: Bacterial small subunit ribosomal RNA
Source: RNAcentral